AGAGACUCUAUAGUAAUAAAAUAAAGUAAAAUAAAAUAAAAUAAAUAAUCUAAUCUUUGCUUAAAUUUGUACAUGACCCCUUUCAUAAUAAUAAUAAUAAUAUUUUGGCAUUUAACGCAUAAGUUAAUUAUUUAAACAGUGAAAGUCUUACUGUUUUAAAAUAUUGUCUUAAGACCCAUCUUGUUUAUGCUUUUUAUGUGAUUGUUUGUAUUUGGUCUGUUAGGGUGUAAUAAUAAUUAUUGUGUAAUGUUGAUUGUUUUGUUGUAAGGUGUCCUUGAGUGUCAUGUCAGGUGCCUAUAAAUAACAUGAAAUAAAUUUUACACAGAGGUCAAGUUCAUUAUUUACGUUUGACAUUUCAUGUAACGGACCUCAAACUGUGCUCAACAACUGUAAGCGGUAAGCGUAGCGGUACCUUUAAGAAAAUUGGACCGAUGUAUUUUGAAAACGGGGGAGAACAGUUCAUUUAGUUGUGAAAAGUCGUGUGCAAAGAGUGUAUAUACUGAAUAGUUGAUCUAUUUAUUAUGCAGCUACUCAAUUAUUUCCUAUACUGUAAAACUGAACAUUAGCUAAUGAUAUUAAGGGGACAUGAUAAAACCUGUUUGACCGAUCCCCCCUCUUUCCCACAAAAGUCUAUUCUUGAUCUAAGGCUCAUGAUGCAGUGGGAUUCAAUAAGCUGGUAGGUGCUGCCCAACUCAAGGUUUUCGGCUCCAGUCGACAGCGAAUGAGCACGGAAAUAUACCGCAGCAUCCUCACUCAUUUGAAGUGUUUACGUGCAGAUCAUAAAGGCAUCAGCCCCACUGAUAACCUGCAGCAGCUGGAGGACAAGGACAGCUCGGACAGCAGCUCAGAGCCCGUUAAAACCUGAGCCAUACAAAGAUUCUCAGCCUUGGCCAGGAACAAAGGAGCAGCGACAAGGCUUUUCCCCACAAUCCUCUGGUGCUGCCUCCCAGCUUGCUGAGCCUGACGAGUGUGCUGACACUUACUGGAGCUGAGUGCUCUCUUUUUCCUGCCGUGCGGGUCUGGCUACGUGGAGGAAGCAGGGGCUUAUUAAUGAGCUGCGAGUAUGAGGCCUCACUGCUGACAGCCAGUGGAGAUAGAAUUAAUAGUCCGGUCAUCUGGCUUGAUGUGUGUGUCUCCAGGCUGCCCCUUGACGAGAGUCCACUGCGGAAUCCACCACGGCGG
This 1182-nucleotide long non-coding RNA is filed under the name Carassius auratus (goldfish). RNAcentral's name for it is "lncRNA (ENSCARG00000019064.1)". The record is from RNAcentral. Lineage: Eukaryota; Metazoa; Chordata; Actinopteri; Cypriniformes; Cyprinidae.